Molecule: ribosomal RNA, 651 nt
Filed under: Triticum aestivum (bread wheat)
Lineage: Eukaryota; Viridiplantae; Streptophyta; Magnoliopsida; Poales; Poaceae
Description: partial small subunit ribosomal RNA
Source: RNAcentral
AUGGCCGCCGCCGACCGUCUCUCCGCCCUCGCCGACGACCUCCUCCAGCGCAUCCUGUCCUUCGCGCCGGCCAAGGAGGCCGCGGCCAGCGCCGCCCUCUCGCGCCGAUGGCGUCCGCUGUGGCGCCGCACGGCCGCCCUCAACCUCGACAGCAAGCCCUACCCCCGCCAAUACUCCUACGGGGACCGCCACGGCCGCUACGACGACUUCUUCCGCCACGGCGUGGCCGCCCUCGGCUGCCGCCGCCAACCGGCGCUCAAGAGGCUCACGCUCUACCUCGGGAUGGACGCCUACCUCGUUGGCGGGAGGUACUACAGCUCCCACGACGGGGAUCCGGAGUCCGAUGCCCGGGUCACCGGCCUCCUCGUCGACCCCGCCGCGGCCGCGCUGGAGGAGCUCCGCAUCGCUGCCGAGCCCUCCUACCGAAAUUCCUACGUAGCGCCGCUGGCCUCCCUGCCCUGCGCCGCCACGACGCUCCGGGUGCUGGAGCCUGGAGCUCGACUGCUGCGACCUCGAGCCGUCCGCCCGGCUCGUUUUUCCUUUGCUCACGGAUCUCACGCUGCGCAAUUGCACUUACGUCGUGGGAUAUCUGCAGGUCGUGCUCGAUGCCGCACCGGCGCUCAUCAGACUUGCGCUGGUGAACGUCGCUAA